Homo sapiens (human) is the source of this 3642-nucleotide RNA transcript. It is a transcript of the gene named abl interactor 1, with no coding region annotated. NCBI's taxonomy places the organism in Eukaryota, Metazoa, Chordata, Mammalia, Primates, Hominidae. The record is from RefSeq and is marked reviewed. The transcript has 12 exons.
GGUUUGUAUCCGGGCUGUGAGGUGCUCGGAGCCUCGGCGGACCUUGCUGCCUCUGUCUCUUUAACGCGAGAGGAAGCGAUGCAGAGGGGUGGAAAAUGGCAGAGCUGCAGAUGUUACUAGAGGAGGAGAUCCCGUCUGGCAAGAGGGCGCUGAUCGAGAGUUACCAGAACCUGACUCGGGUGGCAGACUACUGUGAAAACAACUACAUACAGGCUACAGACAAGAGAAAAGCUUUAGAGGAGACCAAAGCCUAUACAACCCAAUCUCUAGCUAGUGUUGCUUAUCAAAUAAAUGCAUUGGCCAACAAUGUACUCCAGUUGCUGGAUAUCCAAGCCUCUCAGCUUCGGAGAAUGGAGUCUUCCAUCAAUCAUAUCUCACAGACUGUGGAUAUUCAUAAGGAGAAAGUGGCACGAAGAGAGAUUGGUAUUUUGACAACAAAUAAGAAUACAUCAAGAACUCACAAAAUAAUAGCACCUGCGAAUAUGGAGCGCCCUGUAAGGUAUAUUCGGAAACCUAUCGAUUACACAGUUCUGGAUGAUGUGGGCCAUGGUGUCAAGUGGCUAAAAGCCAAGCAUGGAAAUAACCAGCCUGCAAGAACUGGCACACUGUCGAGAACAAAUCCUCCUACUCAGAAACCGCCAAGUCCUCCCAUGUCAGGCCGGGGAACACUGGGACGGAAUACUCCUUAUAAAACCCUGGAACCUGUUAAACCCCCAACAGUUCCUAAUGACUAUAUGACCAGUCCUGCUAGGCUUGGAAGUCAGCAUAGUCCAGGCAGGACAGCAUCUUUAAAUCAGAGACCAAGGACACACAGUGGAAGUAGUGGAGGAAGUGGAAGUCGAGAAAACAGUGGUAGCAGUAGUAUUGGCAUUCCCAUUGCUGUGCCUACACCUUCGCCACCCACUAUUGGACCAGGGAUGAGGAACCCAUGGAUAUGGAGGGCUGACUGUAUUUGCCUCGCAUACUAGUCAAGAAUGACAUUUAUUAUUUCAAGAGCAAACCAGUAUUGUACGAUACUCCAGCUGGAGAAUCAGUGUCUAUAAAGCCCCGGGCUCAGCUCCUGGUUCCCAGUAUGGCACAAUGACCAGGCAGAUAUCUCGACACAACUCUACUACUUCUUCGACAUCUUCUGGUGGAUACAGACGAACUCCCUCUGUGACUGCUCAAUUUUCUGCUCAGCCUCAUGUUAAUGGAGGUCCACUUUAUUCUCAAAAUUCAAUUUCUAUUGCUCCACCCCCUCCCCCUAUGCCUCAGUUGACUCCACAGAUACCUCUCACAGGCUUCGUGGCCAGGGUGCAGGAAAACAUUGCUGAUAGUCCAACUCCACCGCCACCACCUCCACCAGAUGACAUUCCCAUGUUUGAUGACUCUCCACCUCCCCCACCACCACCACCAGUGGAUUAUGAAGAUGAGGAGGCUGCAGUAGUUCAGUAUAAUGAUCCAUAUGCAGAUGGGGAUCCUGCUUGGGCCCCCAAGAAUUAUAUUGAGAAAGUUGUUGCAAUAUAUGAUUAUACAAAAGACAAGGAUGAUGAGCUGUCAUUUAUGGAGGGUGCAAUCAUUUAUGUUAUAAAGAAGAAUGAUGAUGGCUGGUAUGAAGGAGUCUGCAAUCGAGUGACUGGUCUGUUCCCUGGGAACUAUGUUGAAUCAAUCAUGCACUAUACUGAUUAAUUUUUUUUUUUCUUUUGAAGUAGAUUCUUAUUACUCAGUCAUACUGUGGGACUAUUAUGGUUAACAGAACUGUCUUAAUAUGUUUUAAAAUGUGCCCAUAUUUUCAGAACAUGCUGUUUUAUUGGUAAAUUGAAUGUCUACCUGUAAGCAUAAAUCUUUGAGGCAGUUUAUGUAUUGCUGAAUAGCAAUUUAUACAAGAAGCUGUCCAUAACUGAUUAUGCUUAUGUACUUACUUACACAUUUUUAACUUUAUGACCAGCCUAAAUAUUCUGGGGGAAGUGGGGUAUAAUAUUUAACGAAUCAUGAUUCAGAUUGUACCAUUACAUGUUUCAGUGCAGCAUGGUUACUAACGCUAUGUCAGACUAAUAUUAAAAUCAGAAAAUUUAAAUGCUGGUGCUGGUCAGACUUUUUUUGUUAGAUUCUCUCAUUUAAAAAAAAUACUGUUUGUUUAAAGCAUGCAUAAAAAUUUAUGUAUUGAAAUAUACUUAAAAAUUCAAGAUGCUUCCCAUUUGUGUAAUAUUUACCUGGAGGACUCGUACUUAGGUGUCUUAACGUGAAUUGAGUCUCCAAGGUCUCCAUGUGAAACAAGCAAAAAGAGAAUUAUCUGUAAUGUUGUAAUUUGUACCUAAGUUUUUUAAUGAGUGAAAUUUGCAUUAUAAACUUUUUCCAUUCAUAAAUACAUAAGUGAACCAAAGGUUUUUGUCCUUUCCUUCACUGAUUUGCUUUAAAAAAAAUAAAAGAUAAUGAUUUAUUGCAGAAUUAUGAUUCUAUUUUCUCAAUAUGUUAACUUGGAAAAAAAUUUUAGCCUUAUCUUAAUCUGUCCCAACAGCAAUGUGACGGAUUUUUGCAGAUUCAAAAUCUGCAAUGGUUAUUUACAAGUCAAUCUACUGAAUUCCUUUUUUAAAUAAUCUUUUGAAACUAAGAAAAUGUGUCAAAUUGUGUGCAUUCAUUCUGUAGGUAAAAUUCUUAAGGAUUGCCAUGUCAGUCCUUCAGUUGUACAGUGAACUGUUGUACACUGGUUCAAUGAAAGGAAGUUAAAAGUACCUUUUACAUAUUGUAAAAGUGGAUACAGUUGAUUUGUGAGUAGGCACUCUUUAAUCCAUUACCUGGCACUAGCAACAUUAGAAUUUUAAAAUAAAAUAAUUGGGAAAGAAGGUGGGUCAUGUAUUAAUCAGUGAACAGAGAUUUACCUAACCAACAGACUUGGAUUGUCUUUUGACAUAAUCAAAAUGCAACACAUGCACUUUGUGUGUCUCCUCUUAAUUGAAGGGAGGGCUGAGGGAUGUUUUCUCUUCUUGUCUUGUGUAUAAUUCUCUAUUGCUUAGGAUAUUAAAGUAGAGCACUCAAGUGUGGGUUUCUGUGUUAUUGAGGAUUUGUUUGGAAUUCAAAUUACAGUUAUGUACUGGAUGCUACAGACUUAUAACAGCAUAGUGAAUGGUAAGACUAGUGCAAAACAGUUAUUUCUGAAAAUUAAAGACCAUUAUUGCUACCAAAUCAAUGUGACUAUUUCAUAUGCAUUUUGCCUUUGUUAAUUUUAAACAAACAAAGUAUCAUUAGUGAUCAGCUAGCUACCUUCUACUUUCCAUUUUUCAAGUGGAUUGUUCUCUUAAUUUGUAUAUAACCUGUUGUCUAAAUUUUAUGUACAGUCUUUUAUAAUAAACCAUUCUCCUAUAUGAAAUUUUGGAUACUGUUAAAAUAUAACUCAUGUGGACUUCAAUGCAGACUUCACAUUUUUCUGACCUUUACUCCUACGGUAAAUCAAGACAAACCAUUUGAAUUUUAACAUUGGUUAUUUAUUUGUGUAAUGGCCUUACAUGUGGAUAUUAACAGUGUAAACAAUACCACAUAUAACCAUCAAGAUACCUUGAUUAUAAUUUAUAGGACUAGAAUGACAGAUUCAGGUGGUUUAUUAAUUACAUUUAAAAAGUUUUCUGAAAAAACUUUUGCAAUAAAAAAAAAUAAAUUGCCCAUCAA